RNAcentral lists this long non-coding RNA (6018 nucleotides) under Brassica napus (rape). Its description in RNAcentral is "long non-coding RNA (BNAP_LNC008782)". The record is from RNAcentral. Lineage: Eukaryota; Viridiplantae; Streptophyta; Magnoliopsida; Brassicales; Brassicaceae.
GGGCUCCUAAAGGAACGCAUUUCCACCAGUUUGUGGUGCCACCAAUCCUCAACUUCAGGAGGAACUGCACUUACGGGGAUCUAGCUGCAAUGAGGCUCCCUGAAGAUGUUCAAGGGCUAGGAACCUGCGAGGUUUAAAGAAUGUUUGGUUUACAAUAGUCUUGAUUGUCUCUUUAGCCCUUUGGUACACCUGACUAAAACUUUAUGUGUGUAUGUUGUGGCAGUACACAAUGGACAGAGGGGUGGUGCAUGCAUGCCAUGCAGGAGGAGUGGUUCAUAUGCUGGAAGGUUGGGAGCAUCAUGAGGUCGGAGCCAUUGACGUUGACCGUAUUGAUUUGGUGUGGGAAGCAGCCAUGAGACACGGCCUUCGCUCUGUUUCUUCACUCACAAGAUGAGUGAGAUGUGCUCUUAAAUUGUUAUCUUUGACUCUCCCAAGAUUGGUCAUUCUUUGUAAAGGUGAAGCAUGCAAGCAGGUUGAAAAAAAUAAGUAGAAUUUUCACCGUAUGUUAUUGUUUCACCUUUUAUUUAAGAUGUAUUUCACUUUAUAACAAUUUCCCUAAAUAGUAUCGACAAAGCUUUUAAUUAUCCAGCCUGAUCACUCCUCUGGUGGUACUUGGUAGUUAGGACAAUGAAAGAACAAAGUGUCUUCAAUGUUCCUGUCCUGUACUCACAUUUGAUUUUAUUAGAGACAAUGUUACUUUGAAGCCCCCUGCUUUAAAGAUGAAAUAAUGGACCAAAGAGCUUGCUUUUGGCUUCUAAAUCAAACCAAUUGUUGAUACUUUAUUACAAACAUCUGCUUGAGUACUAAAAAGAAUGCAGAAGAAAGAGAUUAUUUUACCACACAGAAAAAAAAAGAAACUCUCCUAAUUAGAAAGACCAUCAUGAUGGUGAUUAACCCUUGAAACGUUCCCAAAAGGUGGCCAAGAAGAUCAAUAGGUGAGAGAUGAGAAGAAGAAUGGAGAUGACUAUCAAGAAGACACCUAGCUGCCACCAUUUCCUCCUUACAGAUCUUACGAAUCCUAACUUGCAAGACCUACAAUCAUAACACAACACGCUCCAAUCAUUCCUCCACAGCUGACAGUCACUUAGUCUUCCGACCAUGCCCCCGUACAGCACCUCCGUCUUCAAUGGUUGUCCCUCGUCUUUUCUUCUAUACCAAAACGUCGUGUUUAAAGCGUCCAUGUUGCAUGUCUCUGGAGGCAUGCAGCAUCCAUUCUACAAGAACAACAAAUAUCAAAACAACUUGUGUAAUUAACCUACUAGUUUAAAGAUCCUAUGGUACAUGAUCCUCUCAAACUAUUUGAAAAUCUUGUAAACAUGAUAAUAUGAUAUAUACAUUAUUCAUUUGAUAAUUGUGGAUUCUAAUAUUUUGGAGAUACAAUUUAAUAAGAAUUUUUAACGAUAUAUUUAUGUAUAUUAACUAUAAAACUUUUAUGGAUUAUACGUAAAUGUUUCAAUUACCUAUGUCAUCAUGCAUGUUAGAAUGCACCGGAUGCACAUGGUAAAAGAUGGUUAUGAUCUCAAACUGUAAGAAUAUCUACAAUGAACAAACCUUUAUUGGUGGCAAUUUUCUUCUAUUAUAAGGUUUAUCUUUUGGAGAUCCAUAAACAAGCUCGUUGCAUGCACCUUUAUCGUAGACACACGAUUUGAUAUUGUUCCAGUUUACAUUAUCCAUCACUUUGAGUUUAAACCACGUCCCAGUCGCCGGAAACCGCCUGGUCUGCAUCUCGUUGACUCCGGCGUACGCCAGACCGAUGAAUAGCAUUAGCAAAAGGAUCACAAACAUCACAACGAGUGCUGGCAUCGGAAACUUCCGUCGGAGAAACAGAGCUACAUUGCUGACGACGAAGACGGCGAGGAGACCGACGCUCGCGAUUGUCUGGAUACGUGGCAGACCGAGGAUAUCUUCGCAGUCGUAGCUACGCAUGUAGAGGAGCCACACAGCGUAGCCGAGGAGUGUAAGAGAUAGAAAGAAGGUGCAGAUGGGAAGUACCCCGAUGGCGAAAAGGUUCAUGAUUGUGACCAAUGUUCCAGCGGGUGGCUUAUCGCUUUGUGACUCCAUCUGGUCGGAGCUUUUUGCUUCUGGCUCACUCGUUGUUGUUAUUGCGGUUGCCGUGGCGGUGGUGGUUGCAGCUGGUUCCUCAACGGGUACUACUUGGGCACUAUCAGCCAUGGAGAAAGUGAAAGAAAUGUCUCUAUGGAGGUGUUUUGUUUGACAUUAGGAAUGUAUAAAAGAGAAAGAUCAUAAGUAUAGGUGUAUCAGGGGUGGGUUUUACAGAGUCAAAUGUAAGUUGGAGAGAAAUCCGGACACUUUGAUUAAGUACAAGCUGAUCCUGACCGAAUAUUUUGCUAUAUUCAAGCCCUUUUUGGUCUUUUUAGUCGGUAUGGAUUUAUCCCCUGUUCUAAAAAUCGGUCCGAUUCAUGCCAAAUCGGUGAAAAAAAAAAUCAUGCCAUAUCCGAUUUUUUUCCGCCUAGACCGCCUAAAUGACCGCCUAGCCGCCUAAAUGACCGCCUAGCCGCCUAGGCGGCCGCCUAAUCAAUUUUUUUUGGCCAUCCUAGUUUAAAUGCUUAUAUAAAUAACCAGAGCUCGAUGCUCUCAAUAAUGUCACAUAACACACAACUUUCAACCCAAAAAAAAAAAUCUCCAUACCUUUUCUUGAGAUUAGAGAGAACCCUAUCGUUAGAUCUCUCCAUCUCUCUCUCUUUGUUUUGACUUCCACAAACAGAGCAACAUCUUUCUCUUAGUAUUGCUUGAAACUGGAGCAAUCUUUAAGGUUAUAUAGACCAAUAAGAGUGAGAGAAGAUCUAGUCAUAAACAAAUCAAGAAAUUUCUAACUUCGAGGAGGUAACGAAAAGGGUUUAAGAGAAUAAGAAUGGUAGCUUUUUCAGCUUGGCCUUGGGGAAACUUUGGCAAUCUAAAGGUUUGAUCUGACUUCUCAAAAGGUCUGGUUUCUCGUGUGAAUCUCAUAUGUGUUUUUCUUGUCUGUGUAGUAUCUUCUCUACGCUCCGUUAGCUGCACAAGUAGUGUACUCAUGGGCGUACGAACAAGACUACUCGAGGGCUCUUUGGUGUCUUCAUAUCCUCAUCAUCUGUGGACUCAAAGGAUUCCUUCAUGUUCUUUGGAGCGUUUACAACAACAUGCUUUGGGCGUCUCGCACUCUAAGGAUUAACCCUAAUGGCGUCGACUUUAAGCAGAUUGAUCACGAAUGGCACUGGUAAAUCCCUCUCAAGUAACAUUUUGGGUACAUAUUAUAAUAAUAAUAAUAACUUGUCCUAAAAUCAAUAUUUUUAAGAUGUUACUCUGUUCUUGCUAUGGUCUUAAAUACCCAUAAAACCACCAAAGGUAUCGUUUUGAUCUGUGGGUUUUAUUUCAGGGACAACUACAUACUUCUGCAAGCAAUAAUAGCUAGCAUUAUCUGUUACAUGUCUCUUCCAUUGAUGACGAUUAACAGUAUACCUCUGUGGAACACGAAAGGACUCGUUGCAUUAAUUGUGCUACAUGUGACCUUCUCAGAGCCAUUAUACUACUUUCUUCACAGAACUUUUCAUAGUAACACCUACCUCUUCACGCAUUACCACUCCUUCCAUCACUCAUCUCCUGUGCCACAUCCCAUGACUUGUACAUUUUCAUCACUAAUAACCUUAUUCAAAAAUUCAUUCUUGUUUGUUGUAAUAUAACAAUAUUUUAUCUAUUGGGUGCAGCUGGAAAUGCGACGUUACUGGAAAGCCUUAUCCUCUGCGUCGUAGCUGGAGUUCCUUUGGUUGGAUCUUGCUUGCUAGGUGUUGGAUCAUUAGGGUUGAUCUACGGAUAUGCUAUUAUGUUUGAUUUCCUAAGAUGUUUAGGACAUUGUAACGUUGAAAUCUUCUCUCACAAGCUAUUCGAGACACUUCCAAUCCUUCGAUAUCUCAUCUACACUCCAACGUAUGCCGUUGACACUUUUAUUACCCUUUCGGCAAAGUAUUCACAUGUCAUUUUUCUUUUUGGAUUUGGUUAGGACACAUAAACAUGACUUAAUUUUGUCUUCUUUUUUUUUUUUACUUUAAGAAGCAAAAUUGCCAAGAUUGUAUUAGCUAUGAAAUAUGCCUAUCGAAAGUAAUUGGUGGUGUUACAUUUUUAGUUGCAUCACAAUGAUUUUACAGUGUAAUGAUUUAAAAAAUAUCUUUAAAAAGUUGAUUUUCUUGGUGGGGUUUAUGCAGGUACCAUAGUCUGCAUCAUCAUGAGAUGGGGACCAACUUUUGUCUAUUCAUGCCUAUCUUUGAUGUCUUGGGCAACACACUUAACUCAAACUCGUGGGGACUCCAAAAGAAGAUUCGCUUGUCUGCAGGUAAAUAUAGCAAACCUACUCCACGCAGUUUUUGUUUUUGUUUUUGUUUUUGUUUUGCAUAUCUAGCCCAAAGCCUGAACACACGAAUCUGUUACUAGACUAGUUGAAUGAAUGAAUACCAAACAGUUUAAUGGCAAUUUAUGAGGGACAUUAGUAGAAAUAGAGUUUGUACUUUGUGCAACCAAAGUGGGUGAGAAUUUUCUAUUUCUGGUCAAAGUCAAACCUCUUGAGCCAAAAGACAUUGUUACCCCUUCUUUAACCUGAAAACUACAGUUUUGUUUUAACUAACUUUGAUGUCCGUGUGUAGGGGAACGGAAGAGAGUGCCGGAGUUUGUGUUCUUGGCUCACGGGGUAGAUGUGAUGUCGGCGAUGCAUGCUCCGUUUGUGUUCAGAUCGUUUGCUUCAAUGCCAUACACAACGAGGCUCUUCUUGCUGCCCAUGUGGCCAUUCACGUUCAUGGUGAUGUUGGGCAUGUGGGUCUGGUCAAAGACUUUUCUUUUCAGCUUCUAUACCCUCAGGAACAAUCUUUGCCAGACUUGGGGAGUUCCAAGAUUCGGGUUCCAAGUAAAUGCCUCUGCUUUUUUUUCAGUUUUACCCUCUAAAAACAGACAGAACAGAGUGUUUUUACAGAGCAUUUUCCUCUGUUUUUGCAGUACUUUUUACCGAUUGCUAAACAAGGAAUUAACAACCAGAUCGAGAAUGCGAUUCUUAGGGCUGAUAAGAUUGGUGUUAAAGUUAUAAGCUUGGCUGCUUUGAACAAGGUUUGUGUCGGAACCGAAGUCUCAAAAAAAAAGUCUGAAACUUUUGAGUCAAGUCACUAAAAGGGUUGGUUUUGUUUGAGUGUUUGCUCAGAACGAAGCUCUAAAUGGUGGUGGGACGUUGUUUGUCAACAAGCAUCCUGACCUUAGAGUUCGUGUGGUCCACGGGAACACAUUAACCGCAGCAGUGAUUCUUAAUGAGAUUCCAAAAGAUGUGAAAGAGGUGUUCUUGACAGGAGCCACUUCUAAGCUGGGAAGAGCCAUCGCUCUCUACCUCUGUCGUCAGGGAGUGAGAGUUCUCGUAAGUUUUUUUUACUAAUGUCUCGAAUGUACGGUUUAAUAUAGUAUCCCAAAGUCUGACAUAUGUUGGAACCAAUUGACAGAUGUUGACACUAUCGGUGGAAAGAUUCCAAAAGAUUCAGAAAGAAGCUCCUGUUGAGUUCCAGAACUACCUUGUACAAGUGACCAAAUACAACGCUGCUCAAAACUGCAAGGUAGUGUAUUUGAGUUCUAACUGGUUUUCAUUUGUUGUGUAAAUGUAAAUGUAUUGACUUUGGGGUGUUUGAAUUAUGUAUAAUGCAGACUUGGAUCGUUGGGAAAUGGUUAACGCCAAGGGAGCAGAGCUGGGCUCCUAAAGGAACGCAUUUCCACCAGUUUGUGGUGCCACCAAUCCUCAACUUCAGGAGGAACUGCACUUACGGGGAUCUAGCUGCAAUGAGGCUCCCUGAAGAUGUUCAAGGGCUAGGAACCUGCGAGGUUUAAAGAAUGUUUGGUUUACAAUAGUCUUGAUUGUCUCUUUAGCCCUUUGGUACACCUGACUAAAACUUUAUGUGUGUAUGUUGUGGCAGUACACAAUGGACAGAGGGGUGGUGCAUGCAUGCCAUGCAGGAGGAGUGGUUCAUAUGCUGGAAGGUUGGGAGCAUCAUGAGGUCGGAG